Molecule: long non-coding RNA, 983 nt
Organism: Mangifera indica (mango)
Lineage: Eukaryota; Viridiplantae; Streptophyta; Magnoliopsida; Sapindales; Anacardiaceae
Exons: 3
Source: RefSeq, a predicted model, not a curated record
AGUUGAACUAUGAUAAAAGUAUCAGUGUUCUAUACUUAAUCAUGAGAACCCUAUGAACAUAUUAGAUAGUUUGUGAGAAAUCUGUUCAUCAUCGACGCCGGAGACCACAGUCGUCUAUUGGUCUUUUUGAGAAACUUUAAUUCUCUUUCAUGUAACUUCUCAUAUGCGAGCUACCAUUUCGAAGAACAAACCCUAAACCAAUUCAUCAGCGGCUCCGGGGACCGGCAUCCGUUGUUCCCAUUGUCUUCCACUUUUUUGGACUAACCUUUUCAUCAUGCUAGCAGCGCCGGAAAUGGCCGGAGACCAAUUUCCGUUAUUCCAUUUUUUGUGUUAUAAAUUGGUAUAGACGAUAGUGCAGGUUUGUGCUGCUUGGCUGCUGGGUUGAGGGCUUCUGUUUUGCCUUCUGUUGUGAUUCUGCUGCUGCUGCAGUUGUGAGGCCUUCUGUUUUGCCUUCCGGAAAAUAUCAGCAUUUCCCUUUUCUCUUUUUGUAUAUUUAUUGGUGCAGCCUCCUCAAUCUUGUUUAUUUGUUUGUAAAAGAAAAGGGUUCAAUUGCAAUGAUUGUACUCAAUGUUUUGGAUUUCCCCUGCUAUGCUCUCCUUUUGAUCAUGAUUGUGUCGUUUGUCUAUGGUGUUUCAUUUUCUGGGACAGCAGAUGGGUGACUUUUCUGUUGCAGUAAUUGUUGGAUUGAGCUGUGCUCGAUGGUUAAAUUAUGCUGUGUGAGCGACUGUGUUGAUUGGCUGCCAGUUUCUGGUUCUGCUUGACUGCUUCUGCCAGUACUCAUUGUCUCAAGUCAAGACUUUCCUAUUUCUUUAUUUUGAUUAAACCAGUGACGUUCCUUGUAAUUAUUGAUUAAUUUUAUUAGCUUCCAUUUCCAACUAGGAUACUGCUUUGUUACAAUCAAAAUGCUUUCACUUUGUAAAUGAAUGAAUGAUAUUAUACGGUCUUUCUAAUAUUUGUAUACUGCUGGGUGUGCUUUCUGGAUC